CGCCCCCCGGCGGGCGGAGCCCGGCGCCGCGGCCAGGAUUUCCCACCUCGCUCCCGCGACUCCGCUGCGGGUCUGCACACCCGAGGACUCGGGGUACUUAACCGAAACUAGCAAUCCCAGGCGGUACAAGGCCCUCCAUCGUAGGCAAAGCACUACCUGAAUGUAGAUUUGGGCCAUACGUUGGAAAAUAAGACAUGAGAGUAUGCUCCGAUCAACUUUUACUGUUCACUGGACAACUAUUUUGGGAAUUUGCAGACCUAUAAAGCCCAUCUAUAAAUCUCAAGCAUGUCCACUUUCAGAGAAGAGAAAUGCUGACAACCAUUUAGUCUCUGAGGACAACACUUUUAAAGUGUAACAAUGUGGCAUCCAGAGCUUAUCCAGAUGAGCGGAGAGCAAAUGAAUUUCCUUCUGCUCCCCUGUUGAAGAGGAGAGAAAAAUUCUUCAAGCUUCGCAUCAAGUAACUGCACAUUUAAAAUAAAUAAUUGCUUUCACUGGAGGUUGUAGCAAAAAAGUGAAUUCCGGAAAUGCCUAUGUGGACAGUAGCAACCCACCCUCAGGCUGAGAAUACUUGCUGGCUCUUUCUUGAGAAGCAACUCCUGAGUCUAUAGGGCAAGACAAUGCAUUUGAGUAAAUGUGAGAAAAGAAUUGAGAAAGUGGAAUUUCAUUCUCCCAGUUUUGAUGCAGAAAAGGGCAAACUGCCCAUAGUUAUCCACCCCCUCCCCAAUUAUAACAAUGAGAAAUACAAG
RNAcentral lists this long non-coding RNA (746 nucleotides) under Homo sapiens (human). RNAcentral's name for it is "HSALNT0110812". The record is from RNAcentral. Lineage: Eukaryota; Metazoa; Chordata; Mammalia; Primates; Hominidae.